This 494-nucleotide ribosomal RNA is filed under the name uncultured bacterium. RNAcentral's name for it is "partial 16S ribosomal RNA". It matches the Rfam family "Bacterial small subunit ribosomal RNA", at positions 28 to 507 of the family's 1533-position model. The record is from RNAcentral.
GACGAACGCUGGCGGCGUGCUUAACACAUGCAAGUCGAACGGAAAGGCCUGCCUUCCCUUGUGGAUUGCGGGUACUCGAGUGGCGAACGGGUGAGUAACACGUGAGUGAUCUGCCCCCAACUUGGGUAUAAGCCUGGGAAACUGGGUCUAAUUCCCGAUAGGACUGCAGGGUGGUGCCUGUGGUGGAAAACGAUUUUCUAGUGGUUGGGGAUGAGCUCGCGGCCUAUCAGCUUGUUGGUGGGGUAAUGGCCUACCAAGGCGGCGACGGGUAGCCGGCCUGAGAGGGUGGACGGCCACAUUGGGACUGAGAUACGGCCCCGACUCCUACGGGAGGCAGCAGUGGGGAAUAUUGCACAAUGGGCGGAAGCCUGAUGCAGCGACGCCGCGUGGGGGAUGCCGGCCUUCGGGUUGUAAACUCCUUUCGACCGCGAGGAAGCCACCUGGUUGGAAGGGUGGUGACGGUAGUGGUAGAAGAAGCACCGGCUAACUACGUG